RNAcentral lists this ribosomal RNA (207 nucleotides) under uncultured bacterium. RNAcentral's name for it is "partial 16S ribosomal RNA". It matches the Rfam family "Bacterial small subunit ribosomal RNA", at positions 524 to 729 of the family's 1533-position model. The record is from RNAcentral.
UACGUAGGCAGCGAGCGUUGUUCGGAGUUACUGGGCGUAAAGGGUGCGUAGGCGGUUGUUUAAGUUUGGUGUGAAAUCUCCCGGCUCAACUGGGAGGGUGCGCCGAAUACUGAAUGACUAGAGUGCGGGAGAGGAUAGUGGAAUUCCUGGGUGUAGCGGUGAAAUGCGUAGAUAUCAGGAGGAACACCGGUGGCGAAGGCGGUUCUC